This 492-nucleotide ribosomal RNA is filed under the name uncultured bacterium. RNAcentral's name for it is "partial 16S ribosomal RNA". It matches the Rfam family "Bacterial small subunit ribosomal RNA", at positions 29 to 507 of the family's 1533-position model. The record is from RNAcentral.
AGUGAACGCUGGCGGUAGGCCUAACACAUGCAAGUCGAACGGCAGCACAGUAAGAGCUUGCUCUUACGGGUGGCGAGUGGCGGACGGGUGAGGAAUACAUCGGAAUCUACUUUUUCGUGGGGGAUAACGUAGGGAAACUUACGCUAAUACCGCAUACGACCUACGGGUGAAAGCAGGGGAUCUUCGGACCUUGCGCGAUUGAAUGAGCCGAUGUCGGAUUAGCUAGUUGGCGGGGUAAAGGCCCACCAAGGCGACGAUCCGUAGCUGGUCUGAGAGGAUGAUCAGCCACACUGGAACUGAGAAACGGCCCAGACUCCUACGGGAGGCAGCAGUGGGGAAUAUUGGACAAUGGGCGCAAGCCUGAUCCAGCCAUACCGCGUGGGUGAAGAAGGCCUUCGGGUUGUAAAGCCCUUUUGUUGGGAAAGAAAAGCAGCAGGUUAAUACCCCGCUGUUCUGACGGUACCCAAAGAAUAAGCACCGGCUAACUUCGUG